Molecule: microRNA precursor, 108 nt
Filed under: Myotis lucifugus (little brown bat)
Lineage: Eukaryota; Metazoa; Chordata; Mammalia; Chiroptera; Vespertilionidae
Description: miRNA (ENSMLUG00000023356.1)
Source: RNAcentral
CCGUUCCCCACAGGGAUGUGGGGUAUCUCACUGGGGCCUCCAAAUGUUAUGGGUUCAAUCAGUGAGAUAGACCACUGACUCAGAAUUUAAAUUUAGGAGUCUUUAUUA